Long non-coding RNA from Drosophila miranda, 760 nucleotides. RefSeq lists it as uncharacterized. The transcript has 3 exons. The record is from RefSeq and is a predicted model, not a curated record. Lineage: Eukaryota; Metazoa; Arthropoda; Insecta; Diptera; Drosophilidae.
AGUGGACUGUUGCUCUCUAAGAAGCAGAAAGCCAAAACAGAGGCGAUAAAAUGAACGGCUAAUCGAUUAGUAUACAAAAGAAUUUCGUCAAUUGUUCGGCUGUACAACUAACAUAUAAAAGUGAGAUUAUCCACCUGCUCGGUGAUUCUUUGGAAGUAGAAUUCGAUGUUUCUGUUCCUGCAGCUGUCUCUGCUGGCGUUUCGUUCGAUGCAGCUGUCUCUUCGCUGCUGCUGUUCUUCCUAAGUGCUGGCGGUCUAUACAAGUCCACAGAGUUCGAUUUGCUUACUGCGGGAGAGGAGAGAGAGAGAUAAGAGAUAAUCAGAGGAUGAGUGAGGAAAGCAGAAGAGUUGGCAAACAAGCAAUCACAAAAACCAAAGCUUCGUGAAUGUCAACACUAUAGUGAGAGAGAAAGAGAGAGAGAGAGAGAGACAUCGCAACAAGUGAGCGUGCGCAGCCAGCCGCUCAGCUGAGCGACCGAACGAGCGUCUGUUAAUGAUGCAACAGCACCAAAAAUCUACUUGAGAAAGAGGGCGACCUUGAAUGAGCUGCGUGACCCGCUGCGCUGCCUUCGUACAGCGUCGUUUUCGACGUCGUUUGGCUAGCAUUUGGUUAUUUUUAGUUAAAUACAUAUGUAAUUGGGAUACCCUAGCUGGAGGGAAAGUUGCAUUUUUUUAUUAGAAGCAACAUAAUAUUGAAUACUCUGAGCCCAAGAAAACAUGUAAAAUGGGAAUUUUUUAAAUAACUAAUAUCUUUUACCAUA